ACGGUCAGAACCUCGCCGCAUGCGGUUUUGCCGAAAAAUCCCAUACAAAAGAUUGUGGCAAAAUUGCAUGCGGCGAGGUUCUGACCG
RNAcentral lists this microRNA precursor (87 nucleotides) under Anopheles melas. Lineage: Eukaryota; Metazoa; Arthropoda; Insecta; Diptera; Culicidae. The record is from RNAcentral.